AUUGAACGCUGGCGGCAGGCCUAACACAUGCAAGUCGAGCGGAUGAAGGGAGCUUGCUCUGGAUUCAGCGGCGGACGGGUGAGUAAUGCCUAGGAAUCUGCCUGGUAGUGGGGGAUAACGUCCGGAAACGGGCGCUAAUACCGCAUACGUCCUGAGGGAGAAAGUGGGGGAUCUUCGGACCUCACGCUAUCAGAUGAGCCUAGGUCGGAUUAGCUAGUUGGUGGGGUAAAGGCCUACCAAGGCGACGAUCCGUAUCUGGUCUGAGAGGAUGAUCAGUCACACUGGAACUGAGACACGGUCCAGACUCCUACGGGAGGCAGCAGUGGGGAAUAUUGGACAAUGGGCGAAAGCCUGAUCCAGCCAUGCCGCGUGUGUGAAGAAGGUCUUCGGAUUGUAAAGCACUUUAAGUUGGGAGGAAGGGCAGUAAGUUAAUACCUUGCUGUUUUGACGUUACCAACAGAAUAAGCACCGGCUAACUUCGUG
This 483-nucleotide ribosomal RNA is filed under the name uncultured bacterium. RNAcentral's name for it is "partial 16S ribosomal RNA". It matches the Rfam family "Bacterial small subunit ribosomal RNA", at positions 30 to 507 of the family's 1533-position model. The record is from RNAcentral.